AUAUCUUUCUGUACGGGAAGGAUGAGAAGCUUCGACUAAGGUUCGAUUCGAGCGCAGCGAGAAAGCGUUGCCGCAGGCAACGACCCGAAGGGCGAAGCGCGCAACGCUGAGUCAUCCUUCCCCCACCACCA
RNAcentral lists this small RNA (131 nucleotides) under Salmonella enterica subsp. enterica serovar Kentucky. RNAcentral's name for it is "RtT sRNA". It matches the Rfam family "RtT RNA". From Rfam's summary of the family: This family represents a bacterial cis-regulatory element known as RtT RNA. The exact function of RtT is unknown although it is thought that it may be involved in changing the cellular response in relation to amino acid starvation. The record is from RNAcentral. Lineage: Bacteria; Pseudomonadati; Pseudomonadota; Gammaproteobacteria; Enterobacterales; Enterobacteriaceae.